RNAcentral lists this ribosomal RNA (253 nucleotides) under uncultured bacterium. Its description in RNAcentral is "partial 16S ribosomal RNA". It matches the Rfam family "Bacterial small subunit ribosomal RNA", at positions 524 to 776 of the family's 1533-position model. The record is from RNAcentral.
UACGGGGGGAGCAAGCGUUGUUCGGAGUUACUGGGCGUAAAGGGUGUGUAGGCGGUUUUCUAAGUCUGGUGUGAAAUCUCCCGGCUCAACUGGGAGGGUGCGCCGAAAACUGGAAGGCUAGAGUGCGGGAUGGGAGAGUGGAAUUCCUGGUGUAGCGGUGAAAUGCGUAGAUAUCAGGAGGAACACCUGUGGUGUAGACGGCUCUCUGGACCGCAACUGACGCUGAGACACGAAAGCGUGGGUAGCAAACAGG